AAUAUUGCGCAAUGGACGGAAGUCUGACGCAGCGACGCCGCGUGAGCGAUGAAGGUCUUCGGUUCGUAAAGCUCUGUCCUUGGGGAAGACGGGCUUCGGCCUUGACGGUACCCAAGAAGAAAGCCCCGGCUAACUACUUGCCAGCAGCCGCGGUAAUACGUAGGGGGCGAGCGUUGUCCGGAAUUACUGGGCGUAAAGGGUGCGUAGGCGGCCUUUUAAGUCAGGUGUGAAAGCCCACGGCUUAACCGUGGGAUUGCAUUUGAAACUGGAAGGCUUGAGUAUCGGAGAGGGUAGUGGAAUUCCCAGUGUAGCGGUGGAAUGCGUAGAUAUUGGGAGGAACACCAGUGGCGAAGGCGACUACCUGGACGAAAACUGACGCUGAGGCACGAAAGCUAGGGGAGCAAAC
Molecule: ribosomal RNA, 406 nt
Filed under: uncultured bacterium
Lineage: Bacteria
Description: partial 16S ribosomal RNA
Rfam family: Bacterial small subunit ribosomal RNA
Source: RNAcentral